CACGUAGGGUGCGAGCGUUGUCCGGAAUUAUUGGGCGUAAAGAGCUCGUAGGCGGUGUGUCGCGUCGGCCGUGAAAACCUGCAGCUUAACUGUGGGCGUGCGGUCGAUACGGGCAUCACUGGAGUUCGGCAGGGGAGACUGGAAUUCCUGGUGUAGCGGUGAAAUGCGCAGAUAUCAGGAGGAACACCGGUGGCGAAGGCGGGUCUCUGGGCCUGUACUGACGCUGAGGAGCGAAAGCGUGGGGAGCAAACAGG
RNAcentral lists this ribosomal RNA (254 nucleotides) under uncultured bacterium. RNAcentral's name for it is "partial 16S ribosomal RNA". It matches the Rfam family "Bacterial small subunit ribosomal RNA", at positions 524 to 776 of the family's 1533-position model. The record is from RNAcentral.